CACCGGCGGCUCGAGUGGUGGCCCCUUUUAUUGGGUCUAAAGCGUCCGUAGCCGGCUUGGCAAGUCCCCUGGGAAAUCUGGCGGCUUAACCGUCAGGCGUCCAGAGGAUACUGCCGGGCUCGGGACCGGGAGAGGCCGAGGGUAUUCCCGGGGUAGGGGUAAAAUCCUGUAAUCCCGGGAGGACCACCUGUGGCGAAGGCGCUCGGCCAGAACGGGUCCGACGGUGAGGGACGAAAGCUGGGGGAUCAAACCGG
Molecule: ribosomal RNA, 254 nt
Filed under: uncultured microorganism
Description: partial 16S ribosomal RNA
Rfam family: Archaeal small subunit ribosomal RNA
Source: RNAcentral